This is a small nucleolar RNA of Schistocerca americana (American grasshopper), 210 nucleotides long. RefSeq annotates it as small nucleolar RNA U3. The transcript has a single exon. The record is from RefSeq and is a predicted model, not a curated record. Lineage: Eukaryota; Metazoa; Arthropoda; Insecta; Orthoptera; Acrididae.
AAGAUCAUACUUCACAGGAUCAUUUCUGUAGUAUGUCUUCAACUCUCUCUAGUUCAAAGCUGGAGUAGAUGCUACCACGAUGAUGAGUUGUAUAGUACAGUUCCUGAGCGUGAGGCAAGUAGAAUGAGAUUUAUAGGAUCUCAGCUGCUAUCGAUGAUCGUUCACCAUGCUUUUUGAAGUAUGGGAAGGGAUUUGUGCUUUCUGAGUGGC